UUUAUUUUAAAUUUUGCUCGGAGUGCAAAAGUUCAAGUGUGGGAGAAUUUGAUCAGUUCAUUUUGAUGCACAUUCUUCUAUAUUUAUACUUAUGCAUUUCCAUGUUUUAGUUUGCUUAUUUUUCCCUUUUAAUGUGUUUUUAUAAUUUAUCUUAUUUUUACAAUUAUUUGUUUUUCGCCAUUUAUUUUCAGCAUUAGCA
This 199-nucleotide long non-coding RNA is filed under the name Lathyrus oleraceus (garden pea). RNAcentral describes it as "Pisum sativum (pea) long non-coding RNA (PSAT_LNC026286)". Lineage: Eukaryota; Viridiplantae; Streptophyta; Magnoliopsida; Fabales; Fabaceae. The record is from RNAcentral.